AUUGAACGCUAGCGGGAUGCUUUACACAUGCAAGUCGAACGGCAGCGCGGACUUCGGUCUGGCGGCGAGUGGCGAACGGGUGAGUAAUGUAUCGGAACGUGCCCAGUAGCGGGGGAUAACUACGCGAAAGCGUAGCUAAUACCGCAUACGCCCUACGGGGGGAAGCAGGGGAUCGUAAGACCUUGCACUAUUGGAGCGGCCGAUAUCGGAUUAGCUAGUUGGUGAGGUAACGGCUCACCAAGGCGACGAUCCGUAGCUGGUUUGAGAGGACGACCAGCCACACUGGGACUGAGACACGGCCCAGACUCCUACGGGAGGCAGCAGUGGGGAAUUUAGGACAAUGGGGGCAACCCUGAUCCAGCCAUCCCGCGUGUGCGAUGAAGGCCUUCGGGUUGUAAAGCACUUUUGGCAGGAAAGAAACGUCGCGGGCUAAUACCCCGUGGAACUGACGGUACCUGCAGAAUAAGCACCGGCUAACUACGUG
RNAcentral lists this ribosomal RNA (484 nucleotides) under uncultured bacterium. RNAcentral's name for it is "partial 16S ribosomal RNA". It matches the Rfam family "Bacterial small subunit ribosomal RNA", at positions 30 to 507 of the family's 1533-position model. The record is from RNAcentral.